UGGUCAGUUUUGGCAACUCCUAUACAACAAGUAAAGUAGCCCGUGAGGUAAGGUUGGGUCAACGAUAGUUUAUUAAUUUCCCUAAAUUCCUAGCUGUUGAUCUACUUUAAUAUUAUCUAGAAUGUGUGUAACCUAAUUUGCAGGUUUUAACUGGAUCAAAUAGGGCAACCAAAGACCUAUAUGGGUUCACUUCAUUUUUUAUAUGUUUAGAAAUCAAAGUUCGAAUUUGGUUGUUGUUUACUUAUGUAGACCACAAGUUAGUCUGUCUAAUUCUAUUUUUUUUUUUUUUAAUAUUUAGGUAUAUUAAUUAUGGUAGGGGAAUUAUAUUAAUGGUGCAUAUCUUUCUUCAUCAAAUUAAUUGGCCUUGUUCAAUUAUAUUUGAUUGUACCACUCAUGAUAGCAUGCUUUUCCAUAUGCAUCUUUAGUUUAUCUUGGCUGUUAUAAUUGUUUUGAUUGCAACAACAUGACUCAGGGAGAAUGGUACCACCUGCUCAAAUGUGUCCCGGUACCGAGCUUCUGCAGGUUCUACAAGUCAAGCUUCCUUCGUCUUCUCUGUAUUGAUCGUUGGCAAAAUGGGUGCAACCCUUGACUGUUGGACACAUCUAUUUUAUCUAUGCUUGGAAAUCAUGCUCAUGGUCAUGCCUAAUUAAAAGGCCUCCAGGUUUUUGCAAAAUUGAUAGCAAUAUGCAAAUUUAUGUUGGUGCUGAUGUCCUUGAUGGAGGCUACUGUACUCUGUUUAAAUCUUGAUAUUGUUACAAAUAAUCAGUCCGAUGAUGUUGCUUCUGGAUAACUGUUUUUGUAGUAAACUGAAUACGAAUAAUAAUGUUGAUUUGUGUCUAAUUGCUUUUUGUACUGAUGGGUUUAGGCUUGGAGGGCUUUUGGAAGUGAUUGGAUCAGUAAGAUUUCAUUGCUAUAAAUGGUGAGACCCCUAAAGUAGGACAUUAUGCUUUUGUUGUUAA
Non-coding RNA from Lactuca sativa (garden lettuce), 959 nucleotides. NCBI's taxonomy places the organism in Eukaryota, Viridiplantae, Streptophyta, Magnoliopsida, Asterales, Asteraceae. The record is from RefSeq and is a predicted model, not a curated record.